Long non-coding RNA from Balaenoptera ricei (Rice's whale), 5545 nucleotides. RefSeq lists it as uncharacterized. The transcript has 2 exons. Lineage: Eukaryota; Metazoa; Chordata; Mammalia; Artiodactyla; Balaenopteridae. The record is from RefSeq and is a predicted model, not a curated record.
GUUGGAUGGCAGGAGGAUCCAAAACCCCUUUCGGAAAACACUCCAGGCAAGAGAGGAGUUAGGAGUGUGUUUUCUGGCGUUGUCUGGGCACCUGAUCUUAGUGAGGACCCAGCAGAGAUCAUGUGUGCUGCCUCCCCCAAGCUUCCCAGGGCACACACACAUACACACUUCCACACACGAGACAGGCAUGGGCCUCAGCUCUGUACUCACGCCCCAAGAAGCCUGCCCCUACCUCAGGCUUCUGCUCUCUGACGCCAGCUCUGGGCAGGGGUCUUGGCUGGGUUUUCACCCUUAGCGGGUUCUCUCGACCUUGCUUUGUGGCAUCCCCCCAUCCUUUUCCCCAGGCCCAAGGGUAGAGGGUGUUCGAUCCAGCCUCUUGGGGUGGGUUGCAUUUUGAAUAGUAUCUCCCUGGGUCCUGAACCAUAGACCUCCAAAAAUAUUGUCCCCGAUUCAGAAAUCCUUCCCUCAGUUAGGCUGUAGGGACACAAGCCCCACUGUGCCCAGGCCAACAGGGAGCCUGAAGCCACCAGGAAAAGUGGAAGUCUUUGGGCUGCGCUAGCCAGCCAGUCUGGGGUGAAGGUAGAGGUCAGCCCUUGGUUCCCAGAAAGAAAUACCCAAUUUAGGUGGGUUGUAGAUCCCCGAUCCUGGAGCUGGUGGAGGAGGACCCCUUUCUCCAUGGAAGGAUCUCCAGGAGGGCUGGAGGUUCAGGCUCGCCCGCAGGCCAGGCCUUCCAAACUUGAGCUUAGACUACAAGUGGGAAACUGAGGGCACUAAAAGCCCCACCCUGGCUGCUGGGCAGGGAAUGGCCAUUUAUUGCACAGUCAGUAUUCGUGAUCUUGGCUGGGGGGGAUGAGAGUAGAAGACUUCCAAGGCAAAGGGGCUCCAUUCAGUGUCUGGGAGGUGGGAUGAGGCCCGCCAUGGUGUGUGAUAGUUUCCCCUCUUCUAAACUCUCAGGCUGAGCACUAAAGUGGUAUUGGUACCACCUUAAACUCUCCUGUUUUGGCCGAGAUGUGUCCGGAGAGUGUCCUAAUGAAAUGAGCAGUCUGGAGCCCAGACCCUCAGCCUCCCUCCCGAGGCAGGGACAGUCGGCCGGGGCAGAGGGCCCAGGCUGCUCCCAGUGUACAAGAAGCAGGCCACUCGCCUCUUGCAAACUGCCAUAAGGGGGCCAGCUUUACCCCCAAAGGGCUCUAGUUAUUGGCAGGUGGGCGAGGCUGAGAGAGUCUGGUGGUUGCCUUCUUGGCGGCAGUAGGACACGCCUGUUCGCCGCUGGCCCCAAGCCUCUCCCGGGCCCCCACGAGGAAGAAGCGGGUUUCUAGUGAGUCAGGGGCCGCACGCGGAAGCGCUGGAAGCGGAGUAAUCUAUGCUAAUUCAUGCGCCGGGACCGAGGAGCUUGGAAGGGUUAGCUCUGCCAGGCCCCGACGUGCAGGGGAAUUAACUAGGAGAGUAACUUAUUAACCAGGCUGGCGGGCAGAGGCGCACCAAGGCGCUGGGCAACCUAGUCUGGACUCGGACCCUGAGCUGCCUCUAGACUCUGCUCCUUGGACCCAGCGGCUGCCAUUCUCUUUACUUGUGGCUUCUUUAGCCUUUCAGAAUGCGGCCCCUCUUUGUUCCCUAGCUGCUCUGGAAGGGUGGGUGUUGGGUUAAGUACCGGUGUGAGCAGUGGGAAGUGGGGGGAUUUCUGAGGCCCCAUCUUAGAGCAACAGCCUCCCGAUCUCCACACCCGCACCCGAUGAGGGUUGUGCUCUGUAGAUUUCAGAAUCUACACUCUGCAGGCAGCUGAACUAGCAGACACAUGAUGAAGGUUCGAGUCUCGGAUCUGUCACUUACUGACUGAGGGAACUUGGGCAACACCACAACCUCUCCCAACCUCCAUUUUGUCAUCUGUAAGAUCACGGCCAAUGCUGCCUGCGAGACCGUGGAGGGCAGGAGGCCGGCCUGUUUUAGGGAGUGAUAGAACCCUUCUACUUCCUGAUUGUGGCGGCAGUUACACAUCUGUGUUUUAAAAACUCAUAGGGUUGUACACAACAAAGGGUGAGUUUUACUGUAUGUAAGUUAUACCUUAGUAAACCUGACCCCCACCCCCAAAGUCAGGCCUGGAUGACCUUAGGCAAGUUACCUAACCUCUCUAAGCCUGUUAUCUCUUCUGUGAACUCGAGAUAAAUAAUAUCUUGGCCCUUGAGGUUGUUCAACAAGAUAAGCCAAGCAACAUGCUUAGUGUCCAGCAUAUAAUGAAUGAGCUAUCAUAAAAGUAAGUUCCUGUCCUUGAUAUUGCUGUUAUUAUUAUUACCUACCCACCUCCAGGGCUUCUUGCUGGGCUUCAAGACUGAACAAUAAAGUUGUACAAAUAUAAGCUGCUGUUCUCACACUCCUGCCACGCUCCCCUCCAUGCUCCUCCAAAGGCCAGGGACUUCUCUAGGGGGACCCUGGGGGUGAGAGAGGCUUGGAUUCCUGGCUAGCGGGAGACAUCAAAGGGCAGAGCUUUCUGGUCGUCUCCCAUACCAUCUGCUCUGAGUUUCCCACCAGGCCCUCUACCUUUGCAGAAGCAAACAGCAGUGCUUCUCCCUCCCCCAGCUCGUGCUAGGCCUGUUUGAUAACGGGGGUGGAUGCAUACCUUCAUGCAACCCAGGAGAGAUGCCCAGGUGCUGCCUGGGUCACUACCUGUGUGACCUUUACCUUCUUGAGCCUCGGUUUUCUCCUCGCUAAAAAGGAAAUACCAAUAUCUUAACAGCUGUUUGAGGGGAGUAAGUGAGCUAAUGCUUGGCACAGUUACCGUUCGUUCAUCAAAUAGUAAUGGCAGCCCAUGGCUUUGCACGUCCAGCAUACCCGCUGCACUCCGCUAAAUCUAGGUCGCGGCGGUUAGGACCCUCCUGGUGAGCCGGUGCCGUGAGGCUGCACUGUGCGCCAGCCAGGCAACGCGAGCAGCGCGGACGUCCGUGGAGGGUAAGCCCUCUCCCCGGGCCCAAGACAUGCGGAAGGUGUCCCGGGAUGGGGAGAUCCUCGGGACCCGGUUAAGAAUUCCUCCAACCCACGGUGAUUCCCAGUCACCCGGCCUCUCCGAAUGCGUAGGGCGGCGGUAAAACUAAGAGAAAAAUUAAUGUCCUAAAAACAUUUUUUUUUAAAUCCUCAUGACGGCAAAUCCCUUUCUGGUGUCCUCUCUAGAGGCCGCUGGCAGGCGCGGCGACCCGGGACGUGUAUCCGCGUGCGCGCAGCGGCGCCUAGUGGCGGGGGCCGGGCGCUGGCCGCAUCCCCGCGAGCGGCCGAGCCCGGUGCGCCCGGUAGUGCCGGCGUUGCGCCCCACUGCCAAGACCUUCCCGCGACCGCAGUCUGAGCCGGGAGAGGAAGUCAAAGUAGGCUCACUGACCACAGAGGAAGAGAGGACGACUUGGAAAUGCGUCCCUCCUCCCUCCAGCAGCUCUCCGCUUCGGAGUUCACCACCCACGCUAGAAUUCCAGCUCCACCCCGAGUCGGGCUUCCUUCGGAAGGGUGCAAGGAAGGGGGGACGGGUUCUGUUCUAAAAAGGACGCUGAGGCCGUGAUCACCUGUGCCAGGGGGAUACCGCGGAAAUGAGGCCACAACAUCAUGCGUCAGGUCCUAGAUCCCGCGGCCUGACUACGGGCCCAUUCUGGCCUGCGCUGGCUCCAGCUUGGGUAGAGUCCGAAGAGCUGGGGUCUCGGGGUGCAGCUCUCUUAACUUCAUGCCCCCUCGUGGCCGGCCAAAGACUCCCUGGUGGUUAUUGCUGAGAUAGCGAUCAGCCGGACUGAGGGGCCGCGACCUGGUCAGGGUGACCGGCUCCUUCCUCCUGGAGCGCGCGGACCCUUAUCUGUCCCGGCGCAAGUUGGUUCCUCUGGUGAGGUAAGGCCCGUGGAAUCCGAGCGGGGUUCGUUGGAAACCCGUGCGUAACCGUUCAAGCGUCCACCGGGGGGACUGAGCCCUCUCGGGAGGGUUGGACCCUGGUCCAGGCCUCAGAUGCCCCAGACGACUGCAGGAACCAGGUGCUGUCCUUCUCCGGAUGUUAUCAGGAGGCUGCCAGCGUGUGGGUCUCCGAGAUCCAACCGUUUUGAGAGCCGACGUUUCAGAGCCGGGAACUCCGCACUGAGGCGUAAAGCCACGCAGGGCUUGACCAUCGAAUUUACUUCCUUCACCACGUUGAAACUCGUCAAUCUCUCAACACACAGGCUGUCCUGAUUCACUAAUGAAAGCAAGAAAACAGAUAAAAGGAAGUCCCGGUUUCUUUCUCCCUCGGCUGCCUUCAAAUGAAAGUCUAAAGCCAAGCAAGGACAGGCGUGGGGCAGACUGACUGACACAGGGGCGCAGGAAUUAGGGAAGAAGGACGCUCUUGCUCAGGUGACUUUCUCGGGCAGGGGUGGAGACAGCUCGGUCUCCCCUGCACCCUUCCCGCUGGUGGGUGGGUGGCGUUAUCGCUCUCCCCUCCAACAGUCCCGAAAGCUUUGGUUUCACUGGGCCACAAGGUCACCGACUGUUGCCCGGAGCUCCCUGCCAUCGCAUAAGAUGACCUGCAGCGGGCCACAGGAGAUGAAGAUGGAGAUCAAAUGAGGUAACGGGUGGAAAAUAAAUUAUCAAGCACUUUAAGCUACAAAUUGAUGGUGUUGUACACUUUGAAGCGGUGAGUCUUCCUGCUGUCUCCCCUUUACGUCUCCCACCCCACCGGGAAGAACCCUUUGCCACGCAGCUGUGUGAGGUUUCCCAGUGUAGCAAGUGCGGGAGCUGUUGUAGGGGAGGAGGAAGGAAUUCUUGGCCUGCUCAUCGCUUGUGGGCUGGAGGGUCGUUCCUGAGCCCGAAGAUUCCCUCACAAGGCAAGUGGGCAAGCUGGCACUGGCCCUGGCUGAGCAGCCCCUGGAGACGGAUCUGGGGAGGCCCCAUCACUACUGGGGGUUCAGACCGCACCCUGAAACCCAUUAAACUAAUGCCUUGUACGCCUGACAGCUGGGGUCAAGAGACGUUUUCAGGGCGCUUACGGGCUCCUCUAGGGGAGAGGCUAUGCCUGGGUCCGCGGGCUCCUGUGCAGGAAGAAGGGACUCUUGGGGCACAGUACCUCUGGUCCUCAUGUGCUGUCAACCUUGGGCAGGUCACCUCCUUUCUCUGGGCGCAGCUGUUAGAGGCGCAUUGCUUUUUAUUUUAAAAGUGACGCGUGCUCAGAAAACAUGUAAAUGUGAAAGAAGAGGACAAAGUCAGUGACGGUGCCUCCCCCAUCCUACGACCAUGGACAGCCCGCUAUAAAAAAUUCUUCUCAAUAUACAAAUAGCUAUGUUCACUUCUUCAACAGAAUUUGGGAUCACACAGAUACAUUGUUCUCUUGGACUUGCCCUCUGUCAAUGUCAGUGUUCUCUUGGUCUACCCCUUCCUUCAACCAACUGCAGAGUAUUCCAGCAUUGGACAAUUUUGUGACUAUUUCCACAGGGUAAACCCUGAAGUGAAAUUACAGGAUCAAAAAUAUUUCUCUAUGUCCUCAAUAUGUUGAAUAUUAUCCUUCCUUUUUAAAAUUUUGGUAGCAAUGAGUGAAAAUAAAAUUUUGUUCUAACUUUAA